CAUAGCAAGACCCUGGCUAAAAAGAAGAAAAAAAGAAUGCUUGACCUGUGACCAAAUGGCUUUCCUUAUCUUGGGAAGUGGGAAACUGGCCAAUCCCAGUUCAUCUGGUUAAAACGAACAUCUUGGGUGGUCUAAAAUGGAAAAGAACUUGCUGAAUGUCUUGGAGUCACUGCCAGCUGCUUGUAAUGGGAAGACACUCUCUGAAGGGUAAGACUGUGGCCUCUGACACUGAUGGAUCACAGGCAGCAUGUCGGGGAGGAGCCGCCGCCGGGCGUUGAUGAACCAGUUACAUAUCUGAAAUGAGUACAAGAGAUGGAUCAGUUCACUCCAUCCAACACAGCUAUGAAGUACUGUUUUCCGGGCUCCAGAACACAGCAGCAAACAACACAGACAAGGUCCCACCCUUCACCGAGAUUCGUGGUGGAGAGGACAGUUAUGUAAAAAGUCAAACUGAGCCAGGUAUGGUGGUAUGUGCCAGCUACCAGAGAUACUGAGGCACUUGGGAGCCAUAGGAGGGUUUUGUUUUGUUUAUGGCACUGGAGGUGGAACCUAAGAGCUUUCUAGUGCCCAGCUAAAUCCCAGCCUUUACUUUUUUUUUCAUUACUGGGGUUUGAAUUCCUUUGUGCUUACAAGGCAGGCGGCAGCACCACUGAGCUAUAUCCCCCACAGCCUUUACUUUUUACUUGGAGAAAAGGACUCACUAAGUUGCCCAGGCUGUUCUCUAAGUUGUGAUCCACGUGCCUCAGCCUUCCAAGGAGCUGGGAUUACAGGUGUGCACCAUCAUAACCGGUGCAUUAGGAGGAUUUUAAGCACAGGCUAUGUGGACUACAGACUGGAAGCAAGAAGUCAGGCUGGCAGUGCAGAUUGUGUUAUGGGAUGUGGCAAGAAAAGGACAAGUAUUUCAUGAAAUCAAAGAACCUGCUGCCCAGCUGGCUGUGAAAAGGUGAAGAGGGCAUAACGCUCAAAGUAAUUCACUCCCCAAAAGGCUGGAAAGCACAAUCUUGCUGCAGUGCAGAGAAAGAGCACCAAAGGCAACUACGGGCUGACAGAAACAAAACUUACUAUUUCUAAGAGUUAUCGAGACUAUGAGACUUGAAAUGUCCCACUGGUUGGCUGCAAGGUUCAAGGUGCUUGUGGCUUGGGGGACACAUCUAACACCCUACUCCGUAUUUGUCUGGGCUUUCUGUGCGUGUGGUACCGAGUAUUGAACCCAGCCCUCCUGGACUCUUAAUAGCUCCUCACUUCAUCCUCGUUACUGGUUGUCAGUCUCUUUCUCCUUUUUUCUUUCCAGUACUAGGAACUGAAUGCAGGGCCUCAUACGUGCUAGGCAAGCACUGUACGACUGAAUGAUACCUUCCACCCCUUUUGAGACAAGGUGCUAAGUUGCCCUGGUUGGUCUCAGACUUGCAGUACUUCUAAUUCAGCCUCUGGAGUAGCUGAUAUAGGCUCGUGCCACUGUGUUGGCUGGGGAUGUCUUUUAACACCAGUCCAUCUAAUCACGUGCCAAUAAACUAGUAGGUGAGUAGCCAUCAUUAAGUGCCAGUAAGGAAACAAGAACAAAAGAACAGUGCGUGUGUGCG
This is a long non-coding RNA of Fukomys damarensis (Damara mole-rat), 1580 nucleotides long. RefSeq lists it as uncharacterized. The record is from RefSeq and is a predicted model, not a curated record. The transcript is spliced from 5 exons. Lineage: Eukaryota; Metazoa; Chordata; Mammalia; Rodentia; Bathyergidae.